RNA transcript from Musca domestica (house fly), 2183 nucleotides. It is a transcript of the gene named protein trapped in endoderm-1, with no coding region annotated. The record is from RefSeq and is a predicted model, not a curated record. Lineage: Eukaryota; Metazoa; Arthropoda; Insecta; Diptera; Muscidae. The transcript has 2 exons.
AAUAAAUGGAAAAAUAAAACCAAAACAAUGGGACAAGGCGUUUGUCGCAAGAGCAAAGAAAACAAUUACAACAACGACAACAACACGAACAAUGCUAAUAAAACAUUUUUUAUUAUCUUCUUUGGCAAAGAAACACGAUCGCAAGCGAGGUUUGAUGUAGUCUCCAAUGUUUGAAUGAACUUGGUUGGGCCAAGACUUUAUUUUGAGUCUGGAGUCUUGAGGAUCGGAUAAACUUUUCGAGAACGAAGGUUUACAGUUUUCUUUCCUUAAAAAAAAAUCAUUUAUCAAAACCGUUGCAGAGUCGGGAAAAAAUCCCAGCUGUGAACAAUUAUCGCCAACGGACAACAAAUCAUUCUCAAAGAAAAAUCAAGAAAACCCCAAUGAAUCUCAGCUUUAAGCAAUUAAGACAGAAAGUGAAAUAAACGAUGAUGAUGAUGAUGAGGAUGGAAUAAAACAACAGAUAAAAUAAAAACACAACAAAGAAAACAAGUGCCAUAGUGAAAAUGAAAACAAAAUGCAUUUUCAUUAUUUCCAUUUCAAGCCGACCGCACGUAAUGCCUCAGUGGAAGUAGAAGUGGAGUAGUGAGUGAAUGAAUCUUGUGGAUGCAAUAUUUCAAAAUAACCACAACAGAUUUUGCGAUUUAUAACCACAAAAAUCCACAACAUAUGUGAAUCAAAAAAAAAAAAAAAAAAAAAAAAAGAGAAAAGAAAAAAAGUUCUGUGAAAUUAAAAAAAAUAAAUAAAAAUAAAUAUUUCAAUGCUCAUGACUAAGGCAUGAUCAGCGAAGCGCUACGCCACAGAUCUUGAAAGAGAAAAAAUUGAAAUUAAUUCGAAUAUUGUACAAAUCCAUCAACCCACUACUCAGAGCCAUAGUAUUUAUGGUUGCAUUUAAUACUUUAAUUAAUGGCAAAUGUUUUUUUUUUUUUGUUAUUCGCUUAAUUAAAUUAAUCACCAAAAACGCGAAAAGAAAAAGAUCGGUGUUGGAAAAAAAGUGAAAUUUUUGCGGCAUGAAAAAUCGCUAGAAACGCAUUCGCAAUACCAAUUAGAAAAAUCAAUGUGCCGCCUUGUGUGAAAAACGCCUCCGCCGCCACCACCAAUUGGAAAUUGUAAUCGAGCUGUAGCCAAGGAAGAGUGUUUGGUGAUCGGCGUGUGAUUUCCAACUGCUGCUGCUACUACUGCUGCUGGUGGUGUCUAUUUACGUUCUGUGAUUUAUUUACAGCACUUCAUGACGUUUCCACUUUUGCACCCGCUUUUGUUUUGAUUCGACGGUGGCAAUAAUAACCGAAAAAAAAAAACAACAACGACUAACGAAAUAAAAUAGCGGCAAAUUUCUAUGCUUUACGGCUAAAUGAUAAUAACAAGAGAAUUUUGUUGCUGUCGCUGUUUUGAUGACGCUUUUGACAAGUUAAAAUAAUGAUCAAUGUCGCAUAAGAUUAAGCCGAGCGCAAUUUACGACAAUCAAAAGAGGAGAAAAAAAAAUUAACACACGUUCAAAUACCCGCAGAAAAGUAGUUGGGAUUCUACUUUAAUAAAGACCAAGCGAAAGCGCAAGAGAGAAUAGAACAGAAGUCUCAUUACGACGUAGGCACAGCGAAGCGGCGUUAACAUUCAACCACCCAGUUGUUUUUUGGAUAACUACCCAGCCGACUUGUGUGGUGGUAGUGGUGGUGGUGGGGGUUAAUCAUUCAUUAUCAGCAACAUCAUCGGAUUCAACUGACUCAUUUAACUACGUUGGGUUUUUAUUGCUCUCUUGCCUGGCUGGCUGGCUCUCCAACUCAUUGUUGCUGUGUCUCAUUGGUGAUGAUGACGAUGAGGCUCUUCAUAUAAAAUUUCCUGACAUUAAUGUAGAGAACUUUAGUCUAACGACAACAAACGACCCUGCGACAACGCCACAUCGAACUAGUAUUACACGCACACGAACGUCGUUACGCCGCGCAUUGCUACCAAAUUCGAGCGGAGGAGCUGGGACGAGAUCAAUUUUUUUCCAGAGACCAAACACACACUCAUUGCUAUUGAGAAAUCCCUCAAAAUGUGGUUUUAAGCUGAAUACAAAUUAGUUUGCAAAAAAAAAAAAAAUCGAAAAUCGCAAAAAUCAUGAUCAAUCACUAACCGGAGUUCGUGGGAAUUAAAGUUGCGGAAUUUGGAGCAGUGGAUAUAAAUAAAACAAAAUAAAAAAAAUAAUU